GAUGAACGCUGGCGGCGUGCCUAAUACAUGCAAGUCGAGCGAACAGACGAGGAGCUUGCUCCUUCGACGUUAGCGGCGGACGGGUGAGUAACACGUAGGUAACCUACCUAUAAGACUGGGAUAACUUCGGGAAACCGGAGCUAAUACCGGAUAAUAUUUCGAACCGCAUGGUUCGAUAGUGAAAGAUGGCUUUGCUAUCACUUAUAGAUGGACCUGCGCCGUAUUAGCUAGUUGGUAAGGUAACGGCUUACCAAGGCAACGAUACGUAGCCGACCUGAGAGGGUGAUCGGCCACACUGGAACUGAGACACGGUCCAGACUCCUAUGGGAGGCAGCAGUAGGGAAUCUUCCGCAAUGGGCGAAAGCCUGACGGAGCAACGCCGCGUGAGUGAUGAAGGUCUUCGGAUCGUAAAACUCUGUUAUUAGGGAAGAACAAACGUGUAAGUAACUGUGCACGUCUUGACGGUACCUAAUCAGAAAGCCACGGCUAACUACGUG
RNAcentral lists this ribosomal RNA (497 nucleotides) under uncultured bacterium. RNAcentral's name for it is "partial 16S ribosomal RNA". It matches the Rfam family "Bacterial small subunit ribosomal RNA", at positions 28 to 507 of the family's 1533-position model. The record is from RNAcentral.